RNAcentral lists this ribosomal RNA (460 nucleotides) under uncultured bacterium. RNAcentral's name for it is "partial 16S ribosomal RNA". It matches the Rfam family "Bacterial small subunit ribosomal RNA", at positions 338 to 795 of the family's 1533-position model. The record is from RNAcentral.
CCUACGGGUGGCAGCAGUGAGGAAUAUUGGUCAAUGGCCGUAAGGCUGAACCAGCCAAGUAGCGUGAGGGAAGACUUCCCUAUGGGUUGUAAACCUCUUUUAUGCGGGGAUAAAGGUGUCCACGUGUGGAUGUUUGCAGGUACCGCAUGAAUAAGGACCGGCUAAUUCCGUGCCAGCAGCCGCGGUAAUACGGAAGGCCCGGGCGUUAUCCGGAUUUAAUGGGUGUACAGGGAGCGUAGGCCGGUCUUUAAGCGUGCCGUGAAAUUUUGUGGCUCAACCAUGGGAGUGCGGGGCGAACUGGAGACCUGGAGUGCGCGGAAGGCAAGCGGAAUUCGUGGUGUAGCGGUGAAAUGCUUAGAUAUCACGAAGAACACCGAUUGCGAAGGCAGCCUGCCGCAGCGUGACUGACGCUGAAGCUCGAAAGCGCGGGUAUCGAACAGGAUUAGAUACCCGGGUAGUC